This 386-nucleotide long non-coding RNA is filed under the name Vombatus ursinus (common wombat). RNAcentral describes it as "lncRNA (ENSVURG00010020830.1)". Lineage: Eukaryota; Metazoa; Chordata; Mammalia; Diprotodontia; Vombatidae. The record is from RNAcentral.
GGAAUGGGCUCCUGGCCACUUUGAGUCUGCCGCUGGCUGACUGGUUGUGGCUCACUCACUCCCUCCGGACACUAUGAAGCUCCCUGGCUGGAUAGCUGCUCAGUGGCUGCUUUGUCUGCUCUUUUUGCGGAUUCCUGAACCAGAGCACUGCUACCUUUACAACAAUCGCUAUGCAGGAGAUAAGGUAAUAAGGCUUGUCCCAGAAACAGAGGGAGAGGCACAUGUCCUGAAGAACAUAUGCCAUCAAUUUAAGGUUAGUUCCUGCACUACAGGUGGACCUAUGGCAGCCCAGCAGCAUCUCCUAUGUCUCGGAAGGAACUGUUACAGAUGUCCAUAUUCCCCAAAAUGGCUCUCAAAUCCUGUUAGCCUUCUUACAGCAAGCCAAC